AGACCCCAGGGCAUUGGGAGGGGUGACAGAUUGCUCUGUGUCCUGAUCGUGGUGUGACUACACAAAUCCAUACAUGUGUUAAAAUUCAUAGAGUUGUGCACCCAAGCACCAACUUUAAUGUGUUUUUUUAUAUGAAUCUUUUUUUUAAGUCAGCCCUGUGCCCAACAUAGGACUUGAACUCACAACCCUGAGAUCAAGAGUCACAUGCUUCACUGACUGAGUCAGCCAGGCACCCCACCGACUUUAACAUAUUGUUUUAAAAAUCUCUCUAACAAAUCUAUUCAGAGACAAGACAGAAAUGAAGUGAAUGUGGCAAAAUGUUGACUGGUUGUUGGGUCCAAGUGGUGAGCUGCAUACUGUACUGGUCUUUCUGGUUUUUUGUACAUUUGACAUUUUUCAUAAUACAGAGGAAGAGGAUUCCCUCUGAAGAGCCGGCCUGGCAGGAGCACUAGUCCCCUCUCCCCAGGAGCACAGGGAGGCAGCAGGUGUGACCUCUCACCCUCACAUCCGUGGCCCUCAAGAACUGACCAGGUGCUUUCCGGGCCAGCCCACCAAAGCUCAGCGUUUGACCAGAAUCUUCUAUGGCCUAUGCCUGCCUGGGGUCAUUGCGUCUGAAACAGGAGGAAAGCAUCUCUGUUCCAUGGCAGGAGCUGGUGUCUGAGUGUCUGAGCACACGGGCCGGGGACAGCAUACCCCAGUGUCUCUGGGGUCCAACUGCCUCAGAAGCAUCAGGUGCUGGUUGAAAGACAGCUUCCGGGGCCCCACCCUGGACCUAUCAGAAGCAGAGCUUCCGGGACCGGGGCCCACGAGUCAGCACUGGAGCCAAGCUCCCCACAGGAAGUCUUAGAGCCACUGGCCCUGGAGAGCAGGUCAAUUCCUCUACAGAUGAGAAGUGCUCUUCUAAUGGGCCCGUUAGGCUAGGAGAGAAAAGCUUCCCCCCUCCCUCACCCCACCCAGGGCGUAAAUCUGGAUUAGCCAUCAGAAAAGUUCUGUAGAGGGCCAGAGAGUCAAUACUUUUUGGCUUGCAACUGGAACAAGUACUCAGCAAUAUGUAAAUGAAUGGGUGUGGCUGUGUGCCAAUAAAACUUUAUUUGUAUGGGGGCGCCUGGGUGGC
Molecule: long non-coding RNA, 1114 nt
Filed under: Ursus maritimus (polar bear)
Lineage: Eukaryota; Metazoa; Chordata; Mammalia; Carnivora; Ursidae
Description: lncRNA (ENSUMAG00000012804.1)
Source: RNAcentral